UUCUAUCUCCCUUUUCCAGCGACCUCCCCCUCUCCCUCUCUCUUCUCAAUUUUCUCCACCGUUCGGCGAAAACCGGCGGACUAGCAACUUCAACGAGGCUAGCAUCCGUUGUCCGCCUCUGCUUCUCUCCACCCCUCCUUCAUUUUUCUCCCAUCUUAUCUCCCUCACUUUCCUGUCGUUCCCUUUCACUUCAUCUUCCUUUCUCUUUUUUGGAAAGGAAACAGCCGAACCUGCUAGGCAGCAUGUUCCGGAGAAGCAGCAGCAGCGACUAUAGAGGCCAGCAACUCCGACCAGCCACCAAUGCCUCCCACAGGCGAGCAUCGUCCUCGUCUCCUUUUCACCUUUUCUGGCGAGCUCGAAAUUAUGGAAUAUUACAAGACGGAUUUCUAAGAUCCGUCCAG
RNAcentral lists this unclassified non-coding RNA (401 nucleotides) under Hevea brasiliensis (rubber tree). Lineage: Eukaryota; Viridiplantae; Streptophyta; Magnoliopsida; Malpighiales; Euphorbiaceae. The record is from RNAcentral.